UACGGAGGGUGCGAGCGUUGUUCGAAAUUACUGGGCUUAAAGCGCGUGUAGGCGGGAAGGCAAGUGUCGGGUGAAAUCCCUCGGCUCAACCGAGGAACCGUCCGGCAAACUGCCUUUCUUGAGGCAGGGAGAGGUGACUGGAACGACGGGUGGAGCGGUGAAAUGCGUAGAUAUCCGUUGGAACGCCGGAGGCGAAAGCGGGUCGCUGGCCCUGUCCUGACGCUGAGACGCGAAAGCGUGGGGAGCGAACAGGAUUAGAAA
Molecule: ribosomal RNA, 261 nt
Filed under: uncultured bacterium
Lineage: Bacteria
Description: partial 16S ribosomal RNA
Rfam family: Bacterial small subunit ribosomal RNA
Source: RNAcentral